RNAcentral lists this long non-coding RNA (853 nucleotides) under Marmota monax (woodchuck). The record is from RNAcentral. Lineage: Eukaryota; Metazoa; Chordata; Mammalia; Rodentia; Sciuridae.
GUGAGAGAAUGUGAGGCCUGGAGGGUAGCAUUAGAUGAUGACUUCAGUUUGGAGCCUGUAUUGGUUUAGAUGUGGCAUCCCCCAAAAGCUCACGUGUGAGACAAUGCAAGAAGGUUUGGAGGAGAAAUGAUUGGGUCAUAGCCUUAACCUAAUCAGUGAAUUAAUCCCUGAUGGGACUGACUGAGUGGUAACUGGAAUGAAGAUGAAAGGAAGGAAGGAAGGGAAAGGAAAGAAAAGAAAAAAAAAAUGGGUCUGUGGCGUCCAUGAGAGUUGGAUUUUGACCUGGGAGCCAUCAUCCCUAAGAGUGGAUGGGAUUGCCUAGAAGGGGAGGUGGAGACAGAUUCCAAUAUUCAAGCUGAGACUCCUAAUCUGGGCCUUGUGAGUGGAUUUCCCUGAGUCCAUGUGCCCCUUGAAUUGUACAGGAGAAGCUAGGCAGUAUGGGGUUGUCUUUAAGAGUCUCAAAGGGAUAUAUGACCCACCAAAAUUAAGGACUAUGGAUAUAAGCACCAGGUAUGUAUAAAAAGAUUCAAUGAAGAAGAGUGAUUAGGAAGGGGUGACCAGAGAAAUGGUGAGAAACUCAGGAGAUGUCAGGAGACUAAGGUUGGGUAACUUAGCUAGACCCUGACUCAAAAUUAGGACUGGGGAUAUAGCUUGGGAGUAGAGUGACCCUGGGUUCAAUCCCUAGUACCACCACCAACAAGGUUUUCCUGAGUUGCUUAGGGCCUUGCCUUUACUGAGGCUGGCUUUGAACUCUUGAUCUUCCUGCCUGAGCCUCCCAAGCCGCUGGAAUUAUAGGUGUGCGCCAAUGAACCCAGCUACCCUUCCUUCGUUUUAAGGAAGAAGUGUUUUGAAC